This 472-nucleotide ribosomal RNA is filed under the name uncultured bacterium. RNAcentral describes it as "bacterial SSU rRNA". It matches the Rfam family "Bacterial small subunit ribosomal RNA", at positions 355 to 825 of the family's 1533-position model. The record is from RNAcentral.
UGGGGAAUUUUGGACAAUGGGGGAAACCCUGAUCCAGCGACGCCGCGUGUGUGAAGAAGGCCUGCGGGUUGUAAAGCACUUUCGGUGGGAACGAAAUAUGCCGGGCUAAUACCCCGGUAGGCUGACGUUACUCAAUGAAGAAGCACCGGCUAACUCUGUGCCAGCAGCCGCGGUAAUACAGAGGGUGCGAGCGUUAAUCGGAAUUACUGGGCGUAAAGCGCACGUAGGUGGCGACGUAAGUCGGGUGUGAAAGCCCCGGGCUCAACCUGGGAACCGCAUUCGAGACUGCGUUGCCGGAGUACGGAAGAGGAGGGCGGAAUUCCCGGUGUAGCGGUGAAAUGCGUAGAUAUCGGGAGGAACAUCAGUGGCGAAGGCGGCCCUCUGGUCCAGUACUGACACUCAAGUGCGAAAGCGUGGGGAGCAAACAGGAUUAGAUACCCACGUAGUCCCUGAGCGGGCUGGCAAGGCGCAU